CUUAAAACUAAGUUAUGCUUGAAUACAUGCCAACAAGUUACAGUGAGUAUUGAAUGUUAUUCUGAUGGAGACAUUCAUCUCUUUACAGGAGGGAACUGGUGAUAUCUUAGGUAAGUGUGGAUCAGAAGAAUACCUUUGACCUAGUGCUGGUUCCUUUGUAUGGCUCUUUUUGUAAGUUCCACACUCUCCACGUCCUAUAUCUUCCUGCCUCAGAAUGGGCAUGCAUUGACUUAGACUCAGGAUUAGUACAUUUGGUUGUUACAUUUACAGUUGCUUAGAACAGCCUUUAACUAGAAUUUUCAUAAAUCAUUUCUCUAAGUAAUUGCAUCAGAUGUUAUUUGCAUAAAAUCCAUUAUUGCAUCAAAUGUAAGAAGGAUUCUUAGCAUCCCCUAUAUUCUACAAAAUCCUUGCCCCCUUUUUGGCAAGCACUGCUGCAACUUGGAUUCUCUGACAGUUUUUGGAUUUGCCCUAUAUUGAAGGACUGAAAAUAUUUUUAUACCGGUGUGGAGGUGCACUGUGUGUUCUCACAUGGAUCAGAGAAUCACCCACCAUGUGCUCCAGUUUCAUUGUAAAAUGUUGGCAGGAAGUUGAAAUAACCCAUGGAGAAGUGUGCUUGAUCUAAAGAUUCUUGGUUGCCAAGAAAUUCUCAUUGCUUAUUACACUGGGAACAUUUUGGCUUAUUCAUCUCUGUAUCCAU
RNAcentral lists this long non-coding RNA (697 nucleotides) under Ovis aries (sheep). RNAcentral describes it as "lncRNA (ENSOARG00000025822.1)". Lineage: Eukaryota; Metazoa; Chordata; Mammalia; Artiodactyla; Bovidae. The record is from RNAcentral.